RNAcentral lists this unclassified non-coding RNA (255 nucleotides) under Borreliella valaisiana. RNAcentral describes it as "partial 5S-23S ribosomal RNA intergenic spacer". Lineage: Bacteria; Pseudomonadati; Spirochaetota; Spirochaetia; Spirochaetales; Borreliaceae. The record is from RNAcentral.
CUGCGAGUUCGCGGGAGAGUAAGUUAUUGCCAGGGUUUUUAUUUUGUAAUUUAAACCUUAAAUUUAUUUUUUAUAUUUUUAUAAUGUUUAUGUUUUUGAAUGUUUUAUUCAAAUAAUGUAAAAAAUAAAAUAGAUAUUGACAUGGAUUGAACAAAAGAUAUAUAUUAUUUUAUGUUGCAUAAACAAAUUGGCAAAAUAGAGAUGGAAGAUAAAAAUAUGGUCAAAGUAAUAAGAGUCUAUGGUGAAUGCCUAGGA